RNAcentral lists this ribosomal RNA (332 nucleotides) under uncultured bacterium. Its description in RNAcentral is "bacterial SSU rRNA". It matches the Rfam family "Bacterial small subunit ribosomal RNA", at positions 568 to 898 of the family's 1533-position model. The record is from RNAcentral.
CGUAUAGGCGGCCUUUUAAGUCAGACGUGAAAUCCAUGGGCUUAACCCAUGAAUUGCGUUUGAAACUGGAGGGCUUGAGGAUCGGAGAGGGCAGUGGAAUUCCCAGUGUAGCGGUGAAAUGCGUAGAUAUUGGGAGGAACACCAGUGGCGAAGGCGACUGCCUGGACGACACCUGACGCUGAGGCGCGAAAGCUAGGGGAGCAAACGGGAUUAGAUACCCCGGUAGUCCUAGCCGUAAACGAUGGGUACUAGGUGUGGGAGGUAUCGACCCCUUCCGUGCCGCAGUUAACACAAUAAGUACCCCGCCUGGGGAGUACGGCCGCAAGGUUGAA